Molecule: ribosomal RNA, 467 nt
Filed under: uncultured bacterium
Lineage: Bacteria
Description: partial 16S ribosomal RNA
Rfam family: Bacterial small subunit ribosomal RNA
Source: RNAcentral
GACGAACGCUGGCGGCGUGCUUAACACAUGCAAGUCGAACGGAAAGGCCCUGCUUUUGUGGGGUGCUCGAGUGGCGAACGGGUGAGUAACACGUGAGUAACCUGCCCUUGACUUUGGGAUAACUUCAGGAAACUGGGGCUAAUACCGGAUAGGAGCUCCUGCUGCAUGGUGGGGGUUGGAAAGUUUCGGCGGUUGGGGAUGGACUCGCGGCUUAUCAGCUUGUUGGUGGGGUAGUGGCUUACCAAGGCUUUGACGGGUAGCCGGCCUGAGAGGGUGGCCGGCCACAUUGGGACUGAGAUACGGCCCAGACUCCUACGGGAGGCAGCAGUGGGGAAUAUUGCACAAUGGGCGGAAGCCUGAUGCAGCAACGCCGCGUGCGGGAUGACGGCCUUCGGGUUGUAAACCGCUUUCGCCUGUGACGAAGCGUGAGUGACGGUAAUGGGUAAGAAGCACCGGCUAACUACGUG